Pipistrellus kuhlii (Kuhl's pipistrelle) is the source of this 145-nucleotide long non-coding RNA. RefSeq lists it as uncharacterized. The transcript is spliced from 4 exons. The record is from RefSeq and is a predicted model, not a curated record. NCBI's taxonomy places the organism in Eukaryota, Metazoa, Chordata, Mammalia, Chiroptera, Vespertilionidae.
GCUCUGCCGAUCCCCCACUACCACAAAUUAUGCAGUCGAGUUUCCCACAUUUGGGGAAAUCGCAGGGGUCAGCACAGCCGGAGUGCAAUGGAUGAGCCUCGCCCUGGGAAAACCACCUUCGUGAUCAUGGUCGGAAGAGGACACG